Molecule: ribosomal RNA, 1394 nt
Filed under: uncultured Anaerovorax sp.
Lineage: Bacteria; Bacillati; Bacillota; Clostridia; Peptostreptococcales; Anaerovoracaceae
Description: bacterial SSU rRNA
Rfam family: Bacterial small subunit ribosomal RNA
Source: RNAcentral
GUUUGAUCCUGGCUCAGGAUGAACGCUGGCGGCGUGCCUAACACAUGCAAGUCGAGCGGUAUAUGCUGAAUUGAAACUUCGGUCGAAUGAAGGCAUAGAGAGCGGCGGACGGGUGAGUAACGCGUAGGCAACCUGCCCUAUACAGAGGGAUAGCCUCGGGAAACCGGGAUUAAAACCUCAUAAUGCGGGGACUUCUCAUGAAGACCCCGCCAAAGAUUUAUCGGUAUGGGAUGGGCCUGCGUCUGAUUAGCUAGUUGGUAGGGUAACAGCUUACCAAGGCAACGAUCAGUAGCCGACCUGAGAGGGUAAUCGGCCACAUUGGAACUGAGACACGGUCCAAACUCCUACGGGAGCAGCAGUGGGGGAAUAUUGCACAAUGGGCGAAAGCCUGAUGCAGCAACGCCGCGUGAGCGAUGAAGGCCUUUGGGUCGUAAAGCUCUGUCCUUGGGGAAGAAAAAAAAUGACGGUACCCUGGAGGAAGCCCCGGCUAACUACGUGCCAGCAGCCGCGGUAAUACGUAGGGGGCAAGCGUUAUCCGGAAUUAUUGGGCAUAAAGAGUGCGUAGGUGGUCUUGUAAGCGCGGGGUGAAAGGCAAUAGCUCAACUAUUGUAAGCCCUGCGAACUGUGAGGCUUGAGUGCAGGAGAGGAAAGCGGAAUUCCUAGUGUAGCGGUGAAAUGCGUAGAUAUUAGGAGGAACACCAGUGGCGAAGGCGGCAUUCUGGACUGUAACUGACACUGAGGCACGAAAGCGUGGGUAGCAAACAGGAUUAGAUACCCUGGUAGUCCACGCCGUAAACGAUGAGCACUAGGUGUCGGGGCCGCAAGGUUUCGGUGCCGCAGUUAACGCAUUAAGUGCUCCGCCUGGGGAGUACGCACGCAAGUGUGAAACUCAAAGGAAUUGACGGGGACCCGCACAAGCAGCGGAGCAUGUGGUUUAAUUCGAAGCAACGCGAAGAACCUUACCAGGGCUUGACAUCCCCCUGACGGUGCCGUAACGGGCAUUUCCCUUCGGGGCAGGGGAGACAGGUGGUGCAUGUUGUCGUCAGCUCGUGUUCGUGAGAUGUUGGGUUAAGUCCGCAACGAGCGCAACCCUUAUCCUUAGUUGCCAGCAAGUAAGUUGGGCCACUCUAAGGAAGACCUGCCGGUGAUAAACCGGAGGAAGGUGGGGAUGACGUCAAAUCAUCAUGCCCCUUAUGUCUUGGGCUACACACGUGCUACAAUGGUCGGUACAACGGGAAGCGAAGAAGUGAUUUGGAGCAAAUCCCAAUAAACCGAUCCCAGUUCGGAUUGCAGGCUGCAACUCGCCUGCAUGAAGUCGGAGUUGCUAGUAAUCGCGAAUCAGAACGUCGCGGUGAAUGCGUUCCCGGGUCUUGUACACACCGCCCGUCACACCA